UCCAGACUCCUACGGGAGGCAGCAGUGGGGAAUUUUGGACAAUGGGCGCAAGCCUGAUCCAGCAAUGCCGCGUGAGUGAAGAAGGCCUUCGGGUUGUAAAGCUCUUUUGUCAGGGAAGAAACGGUGGAGGUUAAUACCUUCUGCUAAUGACGGUACCUGAAGAAUAAGCACCGGCUAACUACGUGCCAGCAGCCGCGGUAAUACGUAGGGUGCAAGCGUUAAUCGGAAUUACUGGGCGUAAAGCGUGCGCAGGCGGUUGUGCAAGACAGAUGUGAAAUCCCCGGGCUCAACCUGGGAAUUGCAUUUGUGACUGUACGGCUAGAGUGUGUCAGAGGGGGGUAGAAUUCCACGUGUAGCAGUGAAAUGCGUAGAGAUGUGGAGGAAUACCGAUGGCGAAGGCAGCCCCCUGGGAUAACACUGACGCUCAUGCACGAAGGCGUGGGGAGCAAACAGGAUUAGAUACCCUGGUAGUCCACGCCCUAAACGAUGUCUACUAGUUGUCGGGUCUUUAUUGACUUGGUAACGCAGCUAACGCGUGAAGUAGACCGCCUGGGGAGUACGGUCGCAAGAUUAAAACUCAAAGGAAUUGACGGAAGGGCG
Molecule: ribosomal RNA, 600 nt
Filed under: bacterium enrichment culture clone F61x_D42_T3_B06
Lineage: Bacteria
Description: bacterial SSU rRNA
Rfam family: Bacterial small subunit ribosomal RNA
Source: RNAcentral